UUUUAGAAAUAAGAAAUUAAUCUUAGUUUAGUGAAUGUUGAAGCGGGUUUUAUAUUUGAAACUUGAAAUUUAAGAUUUAUACAAGUGUGAAUAUAAAAAAGAACAUAGUGCUUAAAAGUCAGCGGAAAACACAAAACUCAGCAACAAAUAGUGUAAUAGUGAUGAAGCUCACGCGGUUUCAACUUUCAACAUGUAAAAAGUGUUUCUGCUUUUUGCGUCUUUUACUUUCACUGGUUCAAAAGAAUAAUAAUUCACUAUAAAAACUAAAAAUUUGUCCACCCUUAUGAUUUUACCUCUUUAAUACUUUCCAUAGACUUUCAUUUUCAUGUCGGCAUAUUAAUACAUACUUUCACAAAACUGUUAUAUAUAUAUGUAUAGAUAUCGCGUGAACCACAUUAUAUCAUGAGCAAAAAAGUUCCUCCAUUUUAGAAUUCGUUUAUAAUUCAAUUAAAAAAAGCUAAAUAUCUAAACAAUUAUUUUAAAAACAUUUUGUCUACAAAAAAAAUAAGAAUUUCAAAAAGUUUUUAAAAGGGAGAGGCGGAAAGUUUUGUGACAAAAACAACUUUCGGAUAAAAAGAAAUUUUAAAUAUUAUUAAAAAGACAACGAAAACAAACAGUCUCCUCCUCCUUGAGGGACGUCUGAAAAGCCGAGAAGAAGAAGAAGAAGACAAGUGUUGUUGUGAUAGUUUGAUUCAUCCUUCUAAAAAAUCCGAUCACCUCACCUCGACAUUUAAGCCAUCAUCAUCAUCAAAUGGGAGCUCAUUGCUCUAAGUUCUCUUCUUGUUUGUUCCAUUCCAACUUCAAAUCCUCUUCAGUCCUCGAAUCUCCCGAUCUCGAAAAUGGAGGGAAAUUGUGGCCGAGUUUCAAGGAAUUCAGAUUAGAGCAGCUGAAAUCUGCGACCGGCGGUUUCUCCUCAGACAACAUUGUGUCGGAACACGGCGAGAAAGCUCCCAACAUUGUUUACAGAGGAAGACUUGACGAUGGCCGUUUAAUCGCCGUCAAACGCUUUAACCGCCUCGCCUGGGCCGAUCACCGACAGUUCCUGGAUGAAGCGAAAGCUGUUGGGAGCUUGAGGAGCGAUCGCCUUGCGAAUCUGAUAGGAUGCUGUUACGAAGGCGAGGAGAGGCUACUCGUUGCUGAGUUUAUGCCUCACGAAACUCUUGCAAAGCAUCUUUUUCACUGGGAGAAUCAUCCGAUGAAAUGGGCGAUGAGACUAAGAGUUGCUUUGUGUUUAGCGCAAGCAUUGGAGUAUUGUUGUGAUAAAGGGAGAGCUUUGUAUCAUGAUCUCAAUGCUUACAGGGUUUUGUUUGACAAGGAUGGGAAUCCGAGGUUGUCUUGCUUUGGUCUCAUGAAAAAUAGCAGAGAUGGCAAGAGUUAUAGCACAAACUUGGCAUUUACUCCUCCAGAGUAUCUACGAACUGGUAGAGUGACACCAGAGAGUGUAGUAUUCAGUUUUGGAACUGUUUUGCUUGAUCUCAUGAGUGGUAAACAUAUUCCACCAAGCCAUGCGCUUGACCUGAUCAAGGGAAAGAACUGUGCAAUGCUAAUGGACUCUGCUCUCGAGGGUCACUUCUCAAACGAAGAUGGAACUGAGCUAGUACGGUUAGCCACACGUUGUCUGCAGUACGAAGCUCGAGAAAGGCCAAAUGUGAAGUCUCUCCUCACUUCACUCACUCCACUCCAGAAGGAAACUGACGUACCUUCAUAUGAUCUUAUGGGUAUACCCCAUGAAACCAAGGACGAGGAAGAGCAGCAGCUUUCAUUGACCCCCUUUGGUGACGCUUGUUUAAGAGUAGAUCUUACGGCUAUACACGAAAUAAUUAGUAAGAUGGGAUACAAGGAUGAUGAAGGAAUCGCUAACGAGCUCUCAUUUCAAAUGUGGACUAACCAGAUGCAGGAAUCCCUCAAUUAUAAGAAGAAUUGUGACGUAGCUUUCCGUUCCAAAGACUAUACAACCGCAGUCCAUUUCUACACUCAGAUAAUAUCUGCAUACCAACAAGGAGUAGACGUAGUGACUAAAACUCUUAGAUCAAGUAAUACAGGUCUAAAAGAUCAUAGAUUCGCUUUUUUUGUGGGGAGAGAUCGACUCUUCUAAAAAGAGUUAAUUUAACAUGGUCUUGGCAUCACCCUACGGGGAUAGACGGACCUAGGGCAUAAAACUUCUUAGUCAUUUAAAAAAAAUCUUCAUCUACAAAUACCGAAGACCCUUUUUUUUUCUUUUUUUUUUCUUUUUUUUUUCAGUUAUUGAAACUCAAAAUAACUGGUUUGUCUAAAAAGAGUUAAUUUUUCAGUUUAACUACUUGUAAGCACCGUGCACUCUCCACUUUGAGUAUGACUUUGUAGAGUCGAUUCCUCGAUCUUCUUGCUUUCACUAGUGACUUUCCAUAUCUAUCGUAUAACAUUAAGUGAUCCUCCUUCAUACGGACAUCACACCAUGGUUCUGUUGCUCGACCGAGAGAUAUAAUAUUGCUUAUAAGGUCUGGGAUAUAGUAGAUGCAUUCAGUAUUUUCUGCUCACCGGUCUUGGUUAGAAAGAGGAUGUAACCUUUUCCUUUUAUAUUUAUUGGAGAGUCUUCUCCAAAUUUCACUUGUCCUGUUACUUUCUCAUCAAGUCUCGAAAAAUAGCUAAGGUUUCCAGUCAUGUGUUGCCUGGCUCUGUUGUCUAAGUACCACAUAUUUUUUCCAUCUACGCUGGUUUCGAGCUUGCUUGGUGUGGUGUUGUUUUCAUUGAGAUAUACGACUCCGUGCAUUAAUUUUCAGCCUCCUGCGUGGUGUCAUCCUCAUUCUCAUGAGUUUCUUCAAGUUUUAACAACCCAUCAGGACAUGAGGAAGCAUAAUGGCCGGUCUUUUCACACCUGUAACACACAACCUUUGAUAGAUCGAUAUUUGGUCUGUAAUUACCAUAUUGCUGGUAUCCAUAAAGCCCUCGGCCUCUUCCUCAAUACUGAAAUCGCCGGCCUCUGCCUCUUCCUCUGCUUGAUUCGUACCUCUCUUGGUACUGCUGCGACUAUGUAUUCACAUACAUAAGCUUACUCUGACCUUGAUCUUCUUGUUUCUCUUCUUCCUCUUCGAAGAUUCUUUCUUCAUACGCCUUUAGCCUACUCACAAUAUCUUCAAAGCUGGUUUUGUUCAGGUCAAGAACAUGUUCAAGUGCAGCUAUGAUGUGGAUAUACUUAUUCCUUGGUAGACUGUUAAGAAACUUCUUAACAAGCUUUGGUUCUUUGAUAGUCUCCCCCAAUGCCGCAGACUUUGAUGACAAUUCCGAAAGCCUUCCGACAAAGCUAUCAAUGGAGUCGGUUUCUUUCAUAUUUAUCAUGUCGAAAUCCACCACUAAUGUCUGUAAUCUAGCCUCCUUAACUCGAUCAGUACCCAUAUGUCUUGUCUUUAUGGUUUCCCAAACUGCUUUCGCAGUUUCUAGGUUUCUGACUUGUAGUAUUAAAGAUUAUGGUAUGGAUUGGAGUAGAAGAGCUCUUGCCAUAGUAUUAUUUUCUCAUUCAUCUUCUCCUGGAUCAAUUGUCUCCCAUACUUUGUAAACCUUUAAAGCUACCUUCAUCCGUAUCGUCCAUACGGUGUAGUUGGUGUCGUUGAGAAGAGGACAUUGUAUCGUCGAAGAGCUACUCCCCUUCGAACUGCUAUUUUCUGCAACGAUCUCCCCCAUAUGUUUGAUUCAGUAUAAUGAUUUGAUACCAAUUAUUGAAUCAAACUCUCAAUAAUCUUUUAACCAAAACUCUUUAUUAAACACUCAAUGCUUUAGAAAAUCACUCAAAACUAAAGCUCUCAAAACUCAUAUGUUAUGUCACACUUUGACAUCUCCAUAUAUAUAAUAGGUCCUAAACACACUAGAUAUACAAUGUUUAGAGAACUCCUAAACACCUAAAUGAAUUACCUUAAAAUAUAGAUAAAUGAAUUACCUUAAAAUAUUAAUAUAUUUGUAUUGAGAAAUCCGUUUAAUAAAAACCACCAUUAAUGAUAGUUUUUAUUUCGUGUUCCCUCUCUUAUUCUAUAUGCACAUCACGUGGGUGUAAGAUAUGCAUAUAUAUCAUGAAUUAUGAUGAUGGUGAUUUAUGGUGUCUCUAGAUGCAAUCAUAUAAGGGGGAAUUAAAUCUAAGUUUCAGUUCAUAGAAUUGAAUCAUUCAGUAAAAUAUAUUUACAAUUGCAAACUCAAACUUGAAACACAAAUGAAUUUACGAUGGGUAAUUUUUCAAAUAGCAUUUCUUAAGUUUUUGUCACAAAAAUAACAUUCAAAAAAUAAAAUGAUCAAAAUAG
RNA transcript from Brassica rapa (field mustard), 4265 nucleotides. It is a transcript of the gene named serine/threonine-protein kinase BSK6, with no coding region annotated. The record is from RefSeq and is a predicted model, not a curated record. NCBI's taxonomy places the organism in Eukaryota, Viridiplantae, Streptophyta, Magnoliopsida, Brassicales, Brassicaceae.